GGGGUUGUGGCUCAGUGGUGGAGUGCUUGCCUAGCAUGCAUGAGGCACUGGGUUCGAUCCCCAGCAUCACAU
RNAcentral lists this transfer RNA (72 nucleotides) under Ictidomys tridecemlineatus (thirteen-lined ground squirrel). RNAcentral's name for it is "Spermophilus tridecemlineatus (thirteen-lined ground squirrel) tRNA". It matches the Rfam family "tRNA". Rfam says of the family: Transfer RNA (tRNA) molecules are approximately 80 nucleotides in length. Their secondary structure includes four short double-helical elements and three loops (D, anti-codon, and T loops). Lineage: Eukaryota; Metazoa; Chordata; Mammalia; Rodentia; Sciuridae. The record is from Rfam by way of RNAcentral.